GCAGUCGCACGGGCAGCAAUGUCAGUGGCGGACGGGUGAGUAACGCGUAGGGAAGUGUCCAGAGGUGGGGGACAACCCCGGGAAACUGGGGCUAAUACCGCAUAUGGCCUGAGGGCCAAAGCAGUGAUGCGCCUUUGGAGUUACCUGCGUCCGAUUAGGUAGUUGGUGGGGUAAAGGCCUACCAAGCCGACGAUCGGUAGCUGGUCUGAGAGGACGACCAGCCACACUGGGACUGAGACACGGCCCAGACUCCUACGGGAGGCAGCAGUGGGGAAUAUUGGACAAUGGGCGCAAGCCUGAUCCAGCAAUGCCGCGUGGGUGAAGAAGGUCUUCGGAUCGUAAAGCCCUUUCGGCGGGGACGAUGAUGACGGUACCCGCAGAAGAAGCCCCGGCUAACUUCGUGCCAGCAGCCGCGGUAAUACGAAGGGGGCUAGCGUUACUCGGAAUUACUGGGCGUAAAGGGCGCGUAGGCGGCGUUCCAAGUCAGGCGUGAAAGCCCUGGGCUCAACCUGGGGACUGCGCUUGAUACUGGAGUGCUUGAGGAUGGAAGAGGGUUGUGGAAUUCCCAGUGUAGAGGUGAAAUUCGUAGAUAUUGGGAAGAACACCGGUGGCGAAGGCGGCAACCUGGUCCAUUUCUGACGCUGAGGCGCGAUAGCGU
Molecule: ribosomal RNA, 658 nt
Filed under: Teichococcus aestuarii
Lineage: Bacteria; Pseudomonadati; Pseudomonadota; Alphaproteobacteria; Acetobacterales; Roseomonadaceae
Description: bacterial SSU rRNA
Rfam family: Bacterial small subunit ribosomal RNA
Source: RNAcentral